GCACCGUUGAGGAAUCCCACAAUAGAACGAAACAGCCGUCCGGUAC
Schistosoma haematobium is the source of this 46-nucleotide non-coding RNA. NCBI's taxonomy places the organism in Eukaryota, Metazoa, Platyhelminthes, Trematoda, Strigeidida, Schistosomatidae. The record is from Rfam.